Molecule: ribosomal RNA, 253 nt
Filed under: uncultured bacterium
Lineage: Bacteria
Description: partial 16S ribosomal RNA
Rfam family: Bacterial small subunit ribosomal RNA
Source: RNAcentral
UACGUAGGUGGCAAGCGUUGUCCGGAUUUAUUGGGUUUAAAGGGUGCGUAGGCGGCUUUGUAAGUCAGUGGUGAAAUAUGGCAGCUCAACUGUCAAGGUGCCAUUGAUACUGCAGAGCUUGAGUACAGAUGAGGUAGGCGGAAUUGACGGUGUAGCGGUGAAAUGCUUAGAUAUCGUCAAGAACACCUAUAGCGAAGGCAGCUUACUAGGCUGUAACUGACGCUGAGGCACGAAAGUGUGGGGAGCAAACAGG